Molecule: ribosomal RNA, 253 nt
Filed under: uncultured bacterium
Lineage: Bacteria
Description: partial 16S ribosomal RNA
Rfam family: Bacterial small subunit ribosomal RNA
Source: RNAcentral
UACGGAGGGUGCGAGCGUUGUCCGGAAUCAUUGGGCGUAAAGGGCGCGUUGGCGGCGCGAGUAGUCAACGGUGAAAGCCCGGGGCUCAACCCCGGGUCGGCCGUCGAUACUCUCGUGCUUGAGCACUGUAGAGGCAGGUGGAAUUCCGGGUGUAGCGGUGGAAUGCGUAGAGAUCCGGAAGAACACCGGUGGCGAAGGCGGCCUGCUGGGCAGUAGCUGACGCUGAGGCGCGACAGCGUGGGGAGCAAACAGG